RNAcentral lists this ribosomal RNA (1564 nucleotides) under Enterococcus faecalis. Its description in RNAcentral is "bacterial SSU rRNA". It matches the Rfam family "Bacterial small subunit ribosomal RNA". Lineage: Bacteria; Bacillati; Bacillota; Bacilli; Lactobacillales; Enterococcaceae. The record is from RNAcentral.
UAUUAUGAGAGUUUGAUCCUGGCUCAGGACGAACGCUGGCGGCGUGCCUAAUACAUGCAAGUCGAACGCUUCUUUCCUCCCGAGUGCUUGCACUCAAUUGGAAAGAGGAGUGGCGGACGGGUGAGUAACACGUGGGUAACCUACCCAUCAGAGGGGGAUAACACUUGGAAACAGGUGCUAAUACCGCAUAACAGUUUAUGCCGCAUGGCAUAAGAGUGAAAGGCGCUUUCGGGUGUCGCUGAUGGAUGAACCCGCGGUGCAUUAGCUAGUUGGUGAGGUAACGGCUCACCAAGGCCACGAUGCAUAGCCGACCUGAGAGGGUGAUCGGCCACACUGGGACUGAGACACGGCCCAGACUCCUACGGGAGGCAGCAGUAGGGAAUCUUCGGCAAUGGACGAAAGUCUGACCGAGCAACGCCGCGUGAGUGAAGAAGGUUUUCGGAUCGUAAAACUCUGUUGUUAGAGAAGAACAAGGACGUUAGUAACUGAACGUCCCCCUGACGGUAUCUAACCAGAAAGCCACGGCUAACUACGUGCCAGCAGCCGCGGUAAUACGUAGGUGGCAAGCGUUGUCCGGAUUUAUUGGGCGUAAAGCGAGCGCAGGCGGUUUCUUAAGUCUGAUGUGAAAGCCCCCGGCUCAACCGGGGGAGGGUCAUUGGAAACUGGGAGACUUGAGUGCAGAAGAGGAGAGUGGAAUUCCAUGUGUAGCGGUGAAAUGCGUAGAUAUAUGGAGGAACACCAGUGGCGAAGGCGGCUCUCUGGUCUGUAACUGACGCUGAGGCUCGAAAGCGUGGGGAGCAAACAGGAUUAGAUACCCUGGUAGUCCACGCCGUAAACGAUGAGUGCUAAGUGUUGGAGGGUUUCCGCCCUUCAGUGCUGCAGCAAACGCAUUAAGCACUCCGCCUGGGGAGUACGACCGCAAGGUUGAAACUCAAAGGAAUUGACGGGGGCCCGCACAAGCGGUGGAGCAUGUGGUUUAAUUCGAAGCAACGCGAAGAACCUUACCAGGUCUUGACAUCCUUUGACCACUCUAGAGAUAGAGCUUUCCCUUCGGGGACAAAGUGACAGGUGGUGCAUGGUUGUCGUCAGCUCGUGUCGUGAGAUGUUGGGUUAAGUCCCGCAACGAGCGCAACCCUUAUUGUUAGUUGCCAUCAUUUAGUUGGGCACUCUAGCGAGACUGCCGGUGACAAACCGGAGGAAGGUGGGGAUGACGUCAAAUCAUCAUGCCCCUUAUGACCUGGGCUACACACGUGCUACAAUGGGAAGUACAACGAGUCGCUAGACCGCGAGGUCAUGCAAAUCUCUUAAAGCUUCUCUCAGUUCGGAUUGCAGGCUGCAACUCGCCUGCAUGAAGCCGGAAUCGCUAGUAAUCGCGGAUCAGCACGCCGCGGUGAAUACGUUCCCGGGCCUUGUACACACCGCCCGUCACACCACGAGAGUUUGUAACACCCGAAGUCGGUGAGGUAACCUUUUUUGGAGCCAGCCGCCUAAGGUGGGAUAGAUGAUUGGGGUGAAGUCGUAACAAGGUAGCCGUAUCGGAAGGUGCGGCUGGAUCACCUCCUUU